UACGGAGGAUGCAAGUGUUAUCCGGAAUCAUUGGGCGUAAAGCGUCUGUAGGUGGUUCGAAAAGUCCACUGUUAAAAAUUGAGGCUUAACUUCAAAGAUGCCGUGGAAACUUUCAAACUAGAGUAUGGUAGGGGUAGAGGGAAUUUCCAGUGGAGCGGUGAAAUGCGUAGAUAUUGGAAAGACCACCGAUGGCGAAGGCGCUCUACUGGGCCACUACUGACACUGAGAGACGAAAGCGAGGGGAGCAAAUGGG
Molecule: ribosomal RNA, 253 nt
Filed under: uncultured bacterium
Lineage: Bacteria
Description: partial 16S ribosomal RNA
Rfam family: Bacterial small subunit ribosomal RNA
Source: RNAcentral